This 460-nucleotide ribosomal RNA is filed under the name uncultured bacterium. RNAcentral's name for it is "partial 16S ribosomal RNA". It matches the Rfam family "Bacterial small subunit ribosomal RNA", at positions 338 to 795 of the family's 1533-position model. The record is from RNAcentral.
CCUACGGGAGGCUGCAGUGAGGAAUAUUGGUCAAUGGGCGCAAGCCUGAACCAGCCAAGUUGCGUGAGGGAUGACGGUCCUAUGGAUUGUAAACCCCUUUUGUCGGGGAGCAAGUCCCGCCACGUGUGGCGGGAAGGAGAGUACCCGAAGAAAAAGCAUCGGCUAACUUCGUGCCAGCAGCCGCGGUAAUACGGGGGAUGCGAGCGUUAUCCGGAUUUAAUGGGGUCAAAGGGUGCGUAGGCGGAAGGUUAACUUAGCGGUAAAAUGUCGGUGCUCAACACCGGACUGCCGUUGAAACUGGUCGUCUUGAGUGAGCGAGAAGUAUGCGGAAUGCGUGGUGUAGCGGUGAAAUGCGUAGAUAUCACGCAGAACACCGGUGGCGAAGGCAGCAUACCGGCGCUCAACUGACGCUGAGGCACGAAAGCGUGGGGAGCGAACAGGAUUAGAUACCCGAGUAGUC